CUGGUAUCGAAUAUGUGACACAUAUUCGUCACUUGUCCGGAUGAUCUUUCAAAUGUGGAGAAAUUUGCUGACUUUCAUGAUCUGCCCAUUCGCCGGUAUCAACUCCUCAACUUCUGCGUGCCCACUGACGUCACAGAUUUAAAAAAAAUGCCGGGAAGAACUAUUUGAUAUCAGAGCGGCGGUAACUCAUCAGCACUACCAGCAUUACGACCAGGAAUACAACUUUCCCGAAUCGGAUCCAUUGUUCGUUUUCCAGAGGCCGAUCCAAAACAGCGCCGGCGGAGGAGAGGUACUCCGCGUGGUCUUCUAAACUGACUUAGCAGACAAUCUUGUUCUCCAGUGCAGCGAUCCUCUUCGACACGCCCUCCAGUGAAAUCGGAGUCAAGGAAACCACAGCAAGGCAGAUGUAACACAGUGCCUGCAGUAAUGCCGCCACAGACGUGGUGUUCCUAAACAAUGGUCUGCGAGAGUGUGCGUCCAGAGAACCUUGCAGCUGGUCAAGAAGUGGAUCAACCAGAUCGUGUCUCCGAGACCAAGGCUCACGUUGGACUGGUCCAGUACUCCAGCUCUGUCAAACAGUCCUGGCUACGUCCAUCGGUGAACACAAUGCCGACCUUGGCCACCCCGGGCCGUGCCCCACCGGCUGGUGCAAAGCUGCUGUCGGUCAGGUAGCGCAGGGCCUGUCCUGUCAUGGUCCCCCUCUCCAUGUAGGCCAUCUUCUUCACUGCGUCCUUUAGGUCUUUCUUGUUGUUGUAACGUCCCAGAGGGAACUCCUGAGACGGGAGGGUGAGGAGGUU
Long non-coding RNA from Oncorhynchus keta (chum salmon), 797 nucleotides. RefSeq lists it as uncharacterized. Lineage: Eukaryota; Metazoa; Chordata; Actinopteri; Salmoniformes; Salmonidae. The transcript is spliced from 5 exons. The record is from RefSeq and is a predicted model, not a curated record.